This 1018-nucleotide long non-coding RNA is filed under the name Oryza sativa (Asian cultivated rice). RNAcentral describes it as "long non-coding RNA (OSAT_LNC000267)". Lineage: Eukaryota; Viridiplantae; Streptophyta; Magnoliopsida; Poales; Poaceae. The record is from RNAcentral.
UGGGUACAGCGCUGCCGCUGCGGCCGACGCCAACGCCGGCUGCGCCGACACCGUGCUCGCCGCCGCUGCCGUCAUAGACGUGCUCAACUUCGUCCAGGUAUACAUAUACGUGAUUGACUCGUACUCGCAUCCACUUCAUUGAUACAUCAAUCGUGCUGCUGAUUAUAUAUACUUCGAUGAUAUAUAUCAAUCGUGGUGUUGAUUAGACCAACAACCAUGAGAGAUUGAGAGAGUCCACUUCCUAGAUGCAGAGCACCUGUGAAUCUUAUGAGAAAAAAACAGAGAUUUUUUUCUUCGAUUCUCCUUUUCUCUUUCUUUUUUCUUCGAUUUCUUCUGUUUUUUGUCUUCCUAAUGGCUGACGUGCCGUGGCUAGGCAUGACCGGCGGCGUGAUGCGGAUGAAGCUGGGCGACGGUGGCGCGGCCCGACGAGGGCGCGGCGAGGUCGGGCGGCGACGCGACCUUGCGGUGGCCGGCGAGGUGCGGAUGGCGGCGGGGCGUGGCCACGCGGUUGCGGCGCGGCCCUGCGGUGGCCGGCGAGCCACGGAUGGCGGCGGGGCGCGGCCACGCGGUGGCGCCGCGGCCCUACGGUGGCCGGCGAGGAGCGGCGUAGCAAGCCGAGGACGGCUCGGUGCGGCAUGGCUCGGUGGUCGGGCGCCCCCGCGGUUGGCGCGAGGCGGAUGGCCGGCGCCCUAGGCGGUCAACGACGCGAUGGUCGGCGGCGCGGCAGCCGAGCGCAUGCGUGACGGCGGCGGCCGACGUUGCCUCUCCUGCUUUUCCCCUGUUCAUUUUCUUGUUCUUCUUCGACCAGCCAAAAACGAGACGAAGACGGCAGAUAGAAGGGAGGAGACGGCAAACGUGACGGUAGUAGGACGGUUUUAAUUUUGUAAAAUUUCAACGGUAUUUUUCUGAAUAGCCAAAGUUACAGUAGCAUGGAUUAAAUUAAGAAAAAAUUAUAACCAUGCCAUUAUAAUUUUACAAAAUUUGAGAUAUGCCAUCCUGACCCACAUGUCAUUGACUC